This 442-nucleotide ribosomal RNA is filed under the name uncultured bacterium. Its description in RNAcentral is "bacterial SSU rRNA". It matches the Rfam family "Bacterial small subunit ribosomal RNA", at positions 354 to 796 of the family's 1533-position model. The record is from RNAcentral.
GUGAGGAAUAUUGCGCAAUGGAGGAAACUCUGACGCAGCGACGCCGCGUGAAGGAUGAAGGCCCUCUGGGUUGUAAACUUCUGUAGAGAGGGAAGAAUUUCUCGUUUCGCGAGAUUGACGGUACCUCUAAAGUAAGGGUCGGCUAACUACGUGCCAGCAGCCGCGGUAAUACGUAGGACCCAAGCGUUGUCCGGAUUUACUGGGUGUAAAGGGAGCGCAGGCGGAUUUUCAAGUCGAUGGUGAAAUCUUGCGGCUCAACCGCAAAACAGCCGUCGAUACUGUUAAUCUUGAGUGUGGAAGAGAGUGGCGGAAUUCAUGGUGUAGCAGUGAAAUGCGUAGAUAUCAUGAAGAACACCGGUUGCGAAGGCGGCCACUUAGUCCAUUACUGACGCUCAUGCUCGAAAGCGUGGGGAUCAAACAGGAUUAGAAACCCUGGUAGUCC